This 217-nucleotide ribosomal RNA is filed under the name uncultured bacterium. RNAcentral describes it as "partial 16S ribosomal RNA". It matches the Rfam family "Bacterial small subunit ribosomal RNA", at positions 133 to 334 of the family's 1533-position model. The record is from RNAcentral.
CCAGAGGGGGACAACAGUUGGAAACGACUGCUAAUACCGCAUACGAUCUAAUCUCGGCAUCGAGGAUAGAUGAAAGGUGGCCUCUACAUGUAAGCUAUCACUGAAGGAGGGGAUUGCGUCUGAUUAGCUAGUUGGAGGGGUAACGGCCCACCAAGGCAAUGAUCAGUAGCCGGUCUGAGAGGAUGAACGGCCACAUUGGGACUGAGACACGGCCCAG